GUGCCAGCAGCCGCGGUAAUACGGAGGAUGCAAGCGUUAUCCGGAAUGAUUGGGCGUAAAGCGUCCGUAGGUGGUCAUGUAAGUCUGUGGUUAAAGCGUGUAGCUCAACUACAUAACGGCCAUGGAAACUACAUAACUUGAGUAAAGUAGGGGUAGAGGGAAUUCCCAGUGUAGCGGUGAAAUGGGUAGAGAUUGGGAAGAACACCGGUGGCGAAAGCGCUCUACUGGACUUAAACUGACACUGAGGGACGAAAGCUAGGGGAGCGAAAGGGAUUAGAUACCCCUGUAGUCCUAGCCGUAAACGAUGGAUACUAGGUGUUGCCCGUAUCGACCCGGGCAGUGCCGUAGCUAACGCGUUAAGUAUCCCGCCUGGGGAGUACGCACGCAAGUGUGAAACUCAAAGGAAUUGACGGGGGCCCGCACAAGCGGUGGAGUAUGUGGUUUAAUUCGAUGCAACGCGAAGAACCUUACCAGGGCUUGACAUGUCUGGAAUCUUUGGGAAACUAGAGAGUGCCUUCGGGAACCAGAACACAGGUGGUGCAUGGCUGUCGUCAGCUCGUGUCGUGAGAUGUUGGGUUAAGUCCCGCAACGAGCGCAACCCUCGUUUUUAGUUGCCAUCAUUCAGUUGGGCACUCUAGAAAGACUGCCGGUGACAAACCGGAGGAAGGUGGGGAUGACGUCAAGUCAGCAUGCCCCUUACGCCCUGGGCUACACACGUACUACAAUGCUAUGGACAAAGGGCAGCCAACUGGCGACAGUGCGCUAAUCCCAUAAACCAUGGCUCAGUUCAGAUUGCAGGCUGCAACUCGCCUGCAUGAAGGCGGAAUCGCUAGUAAUCGCAGGUCAGCAUACUGCGGUGAAUCCGUUCCCGGGCCUUGUACACACCGCCCGUCACACCAUGGGAGUUGGUCACGCCCGAAGUCGUUACUCUAACCCUUGUGGAAGAGGACGCCGAAGGUAGGGCUGAUGACUGGGGUGAAGUCGUAACAAGGUAACC
Molecule: ribosomal RNA, 997 nt
Filed under: uncultured bacterium
Lineage: Bacteria
Description: bacterial SSU rRNA
Rfam family: Bacterial small subunit ribosomal RNA
Source: RNAcentral